Molecule: ribosomal RNA, 497 nt
Filed under: uncultured bacterium
Lineage: Bacteria
Description: partial 16S ribosomal RNA
Rfam family: Bacterial small subunit ribosomal RNA
Source: RNAcentral
GAUGAACGCUGGCGGCGUGCCUAAUACAUGCAAGUCGAGCGAACAGACGAGGAGCUUGCUCCUCUGACGUUAGCGGCGGACGGGUGAGUAACACGUGGAUAACCUACCUAUAAGACUGGGAUAACUUCGGGAAACCGGAGCUAAUACCGGAUAAUAUAUUGAACCGCAUGGUUCAAUAGUGAAAGACGGUUUUGCUGUCACUUAUAGAUGGUUCCGCGCCGCAUUAGCUAGUUGGUAAGGUAACGGCUUACCAAGGCAACGAUGCGUAGCCGACCUGAGAGGGUGAUCGGCCACACUGGAACUGAGACACGGUCCAGACUCCUACGGGAGGCAGCAGUAGGGAAUCUUCCGCAAUGGGCGAAAGCCUGACGGAGCAACACCGCGUGAGUGAUGAAGGUCUUCGGAUCGUAAAACUCUGUUAUUAGGGAAGAACAAAUGUGUAAGUAACUAUGCACGUCUUGACGGUACCUAAUCAGAAAGCCACGGCUAACUACGUG